AUACGUAGGGUGCGAGCGUUGUCCGGAUUUACUGGGCGUAAAGGGCGUGUAGGCGGUCUUGCAAGUCAGAAGUGAAAUUCCUGAGCUCAACUCGGGCGCUGCUUCUGAAACUGCAGGACUUGAGUGCUGGAGGGGAUAGCGGAAUUCCUAGUGGAGCGGUAAAAUGCGCAGAUAUUAGGAAGAACACCGGUGGCGAAGGCGGCUAUCUGGACAGUAACUGACGCUGAGGCGCGAAAGCGUGGGGAGCGAACAGGAUUAGAUACCCUGGUAGUCCACGCGGUAAACGAUGAAUGCUAGGUGUUGCGGGUAUCGACCCCUGCAGUGCCGGAGUAAACACAAUAAGCAUUCCGCCUGGGGAGUACGGCCGCAAGGUUGAAACUCAAAUGAAUUGGCGGGG
This 397-nucleotide ribosomal RNA is filed under the name uncultured bacterium. Its description in RNAcentral is "partial 16S ribosomal RNA". It matches the Rfam family "Bacterial small subunit ribosomal RNA", at positions 523 to 918 of the family's 1533-position model. The record is from RNAcentral.